GACGAACGCUGGCGGCGUGCUUAACACAUGCAAGUCGAACGGAAAGGCCCUGCUUUUGUGGGGUGCUCGAGUGGCGAGCGGGUGAGUAACACGUGAGUAACCUGCCCUUGACUUUGGGAUAACUUCAGGAAACUGGGGCUAAUACCGGAUAGGAGCUCCUGCUGCAUGGUGGGGGUUGGAAAGUUUCGGCGGUUGGGGAUGGACUCGCGGCUUAUCAGCUUGUUGGUGGGGUAGUGGCUUACCAAGGCUUUGACGGGUAGCCGGCCUGAGAGGGUGACCAGCCACAUUGGGACUGAGAUACGGCCCAGACUCCUACGGGAGGCAGCAGUGGGGAAUAUUGCACAAUGGGCGGAAGCCUGAUGCAGCAACGCCGCGUGCGGGAUGACGGCCUUCGGGUUGUAAACCGCUUUCGCCUGUGACGAAGCGUGAGUGACGGUAAUGGGUAAAGAAGCACCGGCUAACUACGUG
RNAcentral lists this ribosomal RNA (468 nucleotides) under uncultured bacterium. RNAcentral's name for it is "partial 16S ribosomal RNA". It matches the Rfam family "Bacterial small subunit ribosomal RNA", at positions 28 to 507 of the family's 1533-position model. The record is from RNAcentral.